UUCUGCUCUUCUCCGCCCUCGACUGACUUUCUCCUCCAUCUCUACCCUCGUCUAUGCCGCCGAGCUGCCUGAUUCCUGUUUCUCUUCUUCUCCUCCGUCGCCCGAGCUGCCUGAUUCCUGUUUCUCUUCUUCUCCUCCGUCGCCCGAGCUGCCCUAGCCCUCGCCCUGUAACCCCUUCUUGUCUUCCUUGCCCCUCACGCUUCUUCACCCUCCUUCAACCUCUCGCCUCCUUCAAAUGUGCAGUGGAUUGAAGCUGCCCCUCGCCUGCCAAUCAAGCAAUCUGCCCAUUUCACAGGCAGACCAACCGUAGCUUCCGUUGCAGCCCAGCAGCUCCUCAGCUUCCUCUUCUCCUCUCCUUAGCAGGAACGACAGCUCUCUGCAGCAGUGACUCAUCCGACUCAUUUCCGGCAUUCCUGAAGAGCAUCUCUGGAGAAGGGUUAUCAUUUAUUCACCUGCUCGCACUGCAACUCAGCAAGGUUCAUGAAAAGUUGGAAGGUAGAAAAUCAACUUCUUGUCAACGCAAAAGGGUGAUACUACAUACAGUAGUCUAGAGUGCAGGCAGCAGCAGAUGAACAUCGAUGAGAAGAAGGAGAAGUGCUCAAUGACAUCCAUGAAGAAGGAGGCAGCUCCUGCUGGGUCUGAGCCCUCCUGGAAAGGAGAAACAGUUGCUGCAGCAUGAUGAUGUUGAUGAUGAUCCACAUUGUGUUCUAUGGAAUCUUAAAUGAUGAUGAUGAUGACACAUCGUUUUGCUGCCAUUUCGGAUGUUCUACCUUAUAAAUAUGUCCUGUAUUUUUAUAAUUUUAGCAAGGGCAGCACUAGUUCUGGGGUUAAAGUGAAGUUAGGACCUUGUUUUUAGAAAAAAAAAAGUUGCGGAAAUGAAGAUUAUUGACUCCUUGUAUGAUUGGCUUGGGUGCAGCAAGAAUUUUCCUUAGAUGGGUAUCCAAUGUUCGCA
Nymphaea colorata (pocket water lily) is the source of this 952-nucleotide long non-coding RNA. RefSeq lists it as uncharacterized. The record is from RefSeq and is a predicted model, not a curated record. Lineage: Eukaryota; Viridiplantae; Streptophyta; Magnoliopsida; Nymphaeales; Nymphaeaceae. The transcript is spliced from 4 exons.